This is a long non-coding RNA of Aquila chrysaetos chrysaetos, 7031 nucleotides long. RefSeq lists it as uncharacterized. The record is from RefSeq and is a predicted model, not a curated record. The transcript has 6 exons. Lineage: Eukaryota; Metazoa; Chordata; Aves; Accipitriformes; Accipitridae.
AAACUAUCGCCUGCUCCCUUUGAGGCUGGCUGCAGGUAUCGAGAAGCACAGCUGCUUGGACACUUUUCAGCUGGACGUCUUCUAAGGGAGGAGGGAGCACAGCUUGGAGGUCUACGGAGGCAGUGAAGUCUCGGGCAGGGACAUUGGCUCAUGAAUUUUUAAUUCUUGAGCUUGGCAGCACUGGAUGAAUUAGAAACAGAACAACUGAUUUUAAUGAGUGUAAGAUUAAUGCAGAUGAGCUUGGCUGAAACUGUGAUCCAGCUGAGGAGAGAGGAUUUUCUCACUUCACCUACCAGCUCCCUCCUUGGUGGGCUGUUACGUUGCAGGCAUUACUGUAGCAGAGCAUAUUCUCAUCAGUAGUCGUUACCUGGGGGAGAGAUGCUCAUUAAACAGCCCACUUCAUACAGGAAAUUUUGCACGUUAACCCUUGGUGGCUGUCCUGGACCCUCGACAGCCCUGCAAGGUGAACUGCGGCUCUCGAGCGUGCAAGUGGGGAAGAAGGCGAGUGUGGAUGGAUGUGAACUGAUGGAGGAGAAACCUCCCCUGGCUCUGGGCCGGUGUCUGCUGGAUGGGAAGGAGAAGACUUCUGGCUGUUGCAUGGAGCCACCACAGCUCCAAGCAAGGUAGUGCUUUCACAGAUCGCAUCGCUGCAGGUUUUGCCUGCUUGGGCUGGCAAGCGAAUGUAGCAGGAGCAUUCAGGAGUGGAGUGUGAUGAACCAUAAAUAAAGAGGAGACUCCCAGGAAAGCAUCAGGAGACCACGGAGGAGAAGGCUGGCCCGGCAGCUGGUGAGAUCGCCCGGUGACUUGCGUCCAGCUUUACAGGGACCUCCUGCCUGACCAUGGCUUCAGUGAUGUGCUCUGAACGCCUGGGUCAGGAGCCUGGUCCCCAGUGGUCCCCACUGAAAUCACUGGAAAAAGCCCCAGUGCUGCGAUGGUGCCAGCAUCCCUGUGGGUUGCCAGGUCAGGAUGUUCACGGUAUCUUGCUGACGGCAGGAUCAGAGCAGCUUUUGCAGCUUUCCCAGACUCAGGGAGCUCCCCAAUGUCACUACUCCCUCUCAGCAUCCCUGCUCAGAGCUCACAAGAAUUGCUCUGCCGUUUGAGGUGCUCCACCUGGAGCCAUGCUGGAGAAGAGCAAUUCAUCCAUGCUUUCUCCUGAGGUUCCUUAAACGACACACACGCAUUUUAAAAUGGUUUUAUUAGACUCUCUGAGUCGAUUUGUAGAGACCCAACCUCAGAAUCAGUCCAUGUACUCUCCAAAGCCCCGUUAACAUCCGCAGCGUGGGGCCAAGGCUCAGUUUUCCCCCGGAGGGAGGCAUCCUUGCGGCACCCAGCCCUGAGCUGGUGUGGGGUUAGCUCAUAACCCCGCGUCAGCGCACAAACCUCAGCGGUCUCGCUCCGGCAGCCAUCAGCCUGUGCUGGGAGCUGUCAAGGACCACGUCUGUUAUCCCUCCCGAGCGCAGAGUCGAUGGAGAGGAGGUUGGAACGCAACUCAACGUCCCACACAGUGACGGCGGAACCGUCAGAUCCUGUCCCCGCCUGCCAGGAAAGGAGAACUUGCUGUGAAAUAUUCUGCCUUGCACUGCUUCGCCUUUGACUAACGAAGAGCGGCCGGAGAAGGGAAGAGACGCCGUGCCGUCAUGUAAUGGAGAAUCACGUCGUCUUUGGCCGGAUGAUGGGUUCCUUCUGAUUUUGAGAGGGAGAAGCCCUGUGCCCACGUGGGCCACGUCAGCCACUGCCCGUGGGUUUCUGCGUGGGGAGAAUGCCACUCGCUGUCGGGCUGGGGAGGCAAGGCAUGCUCUGGCUGCACGCUGAGCCGCGGUUAGCAUGGUACCCACCCUGCCGCAACCAGGAGGUAAACGCUAAUUUGUGACGCGUACGGUCCCUGUUAGACCCUGCACUGAGCAGUCAGUAACACAGAGGUCACGUGUGGGUUGUGCUGGGUUUUACUGAGUGUGAAAGUGGGGAAUAGUCCAAAUAUACCCAUAAAAGAUCGGUGCUUCAUUACUGCGGUGAGUUAGGAGCGUUUCCAAGGGGAGGCAUGUGUUGGGCUGGUAACGAGCUGUCCUUUGGCAGAGGCAGAGCAUUGAAUGGGUGUGAAAACUGGAGGCUGAAGGCAGCAGAUGUGAGAGGUGAAGAGAAGGGUGUUUGCAGCUGGGGGUACCGGGAUGCCCGAGGCAGUGCACGCUGCAAGGGACCUGUGGCAGAAGGAUGCUGCCAGGCUCCACGCUGGGUGGUGGGACCCAGCCGGCCCAGGAUGGACGGCAAACUGGAGGCUAUGGAUGGCUACAGGGACAGGAGAGGGUGGCAAACCCCUCCUCAAAGGAGGCAAACCUCAUUGAAGAGGUUAAAGCGAAUGUUGAAGGAUCCUAGGAGCAGUUGCCAGAUCCCAAAUGAUGAUGCUGUGCUGAGGCCAAACACAACACGGCAGGAGCCAAACCAUGACAUGAAAGCAGGGACCUGCAAAGGUGGAAAGUUGAAAGGCGCUUAGGACUUGUUCUCCAGACCAGACUAAGAGGAGGCAGGGAGGCUGUCGCAUGAGCGGGAGGGGAAAAUCCCCCUUCUCCAACGUUUGUCCUGGAUGCAGACGUGGGAACUUCAGCAGGAGCACCUACAGAUAGGUCUCCAAGAAAGCAUCCCAGACUCGCAGCACCUGAGGAGCUGAGAAAGAGACAGAGAAGCUGUGAUUUGUUUGUGCUGCUUGUAGCUGGAGGUGGCUGCAGGGAUCAACCCUGUAGCUGUGGGAAAGUUCAAGGCUGAGCUUUGUGGCUUCAUCAGAUCCGGACUGUGAUCAUUCACUCUAAUACCUAUGUAAUGAGAAGAGAACAGCAAGCAGCUAUCACGAUAGCUUCAUGAAGCUAGCCAGACACCUAGCACUGGCAGUCUAAAUCCGGCCCUGUCUUCCCCCUGCAGUAGACAACCCAAGCUGCUCAUUACUGUUGUCCUACCCAAGGGCACGAGCCGAGGGAAGCAGAAAGCCCCAACCAGCCAAGCUUCUGCCUGGAACUGUUUGCUUUGGAUCAUUACUUAUUUAUUUCUUCUUACACCCAUCUUCCAGCAGAAUUAAGGGCAGUAAAGGGAAGAGCCCUGUAACACUGCUUGCACAGUCUUAAAAUGCUUUACGCUCAUUGCAGUUCUCAUCUUUACAGCACCUUUGGGAAGAGAGACAACAUUCAAAUGCCCGUUUUACAGCACCAUGCACUCAGCACUGCUGAAGAAGAAAUCCUUAGCAGUGUUGGCUCUGGAGACAAACUAUGAAUAUAUGUGGGUUGCAUGUAUCCAAUCUCAUUGCAGUGAGCUCAAGAAGGUGCAAUUACUCUUAUUUUUAUGCUCGUAUGUGAUUUAGACUGAUUAAUUGCUAAGAAUUCCUCCCUCCUCCUAAUUGUCUGCAAAAGAAGUGAUUUCAAAGCACAAUAAUUGUGGCCACUGCCAAAGGGAAUAGGAGAUAAAAGCAACUCCUAUUACCUCCAAAUGGCCCCACAUGUGGUCCUUGUCCAUAGCAGACACAGUUUGCACUGGAAUAAUGCAUCAACUAUAUAUUUAAUCUUUCACCCAAGGAUCUAGAAUUGCUUUCCAAUGAACCGUUAGCUGAAGGAUCCCCACGCAGCCCUGAUUAGACAGGCAAGAAGACAUGGAAGUUGUGAAACAGCCCAGCUUUGUAGCACUGGGAGGGGAGAGAGCUGUACUGUGAUUGUGCUCCAUGGGGAAACUACAGCUGAAGGACCUGAGAAGGGACAAGUAGGUCAAGCCCACUGUUUUGAAGAUGUUUUGGACAUGUUAUAGUGAUGCUACAGCCUCCUGCUCUGAGCUUGGUGCUGUCAGUAGCCAGACGAGGCAGUUUAAAGGCUACUGGGUGGCUUUCUAUGUGGCUCUGCAGAGAAAUGGUCUCCAAAAGGAGGGUUGCAAUGCCAUGUAGGGACCCAGCAGCUGUGCAGGGACUCCCAGCCCAAUAGAAAAUUACCAACAAGACUUUUCUGCUAAGAUCUGGGGUGGCCAAGGAAAUGGGGCUGCGAGUGGAAGUGUUUGGGGGCCACCACUUCCAAGUCUGCAGGGACCACGAACGCCUUAUCCCCCACCUGAGCGUGGACGACCUCCAGCUCUGCAGGAGCACCGGCGUCAUGACGGGGAACAUCCAUCGCAGAGUCCAGCGGUACCAUCUGGGGCUUUUAGGGACCUGAUUCCCAAAUACCAGCUUCCCUUCUGGGUUCACAGCCCCUGCCGCUGAGCCAAGAGACCCAGAGAUAACCAGUGCUGUGGGGCAGUACUCAGCGUGAGCCCUGGCAGAAGCUAGAUGUGAUAUCUUGGGCUUCACCCAUGUCUGUUCCCAAAAUGCAUGGACAGGGGGAGCAGUGCUUGGCCAGGCUGUCACGUAGCAGCUCCAGGGGUGCACGGCACGAUCCCGCUCCCGUGACUGGGAGAUUCAGGGGUCUGCAAUCAUCAAAGCACUUCACAGCCCAAAAAAUACAGGCAAAGCCUCCUCAGCCAUGCUGUCCACCGGUGUCCUCAGCAUCUCCCCAGCCUGGCCGGAGCCCUUGCUGCGCUGCUGACCUGGCCAGGUGGAGAAUUCAAGGGAAGUAAUUUUUUUUUGGCUUUUUCACAUUCUCAGCUUGCGACUCAGUUAUCAACCGUUGUUACCUUCAGAUCUCUGGGAUCAAGAGAGGACCACUGCAUUAGUUCUGUGUCACCAAGGAGAGCUUAAAUAUUGUGAUUAAAAAAUUCCAGUCUCGCAUAGUCUACUCAGACAUGCAGGAAGAAACCUUUGCAAUUAGACUCCCUGUGUGCUGGCAGGAGGGCAGAAGUUCCUCCUUUUUUUUCUUUUCCAUGUCUAUAUUCUUCUGUGAUUUUAGAGCAGCAGGGGAAAAAAAAAGCCUGUUUGAUUUUCUUCAUUAUGCUAAGCCUGGUUUUACUUUCUGAUUGCCAAAGCAUGAUAAAUGGAACAGAGAUUAUUUGGAGAUUUUCAAAGAUCUGCUUUCAAAUUUUAUUUUUCCUGAGCCUCAUUAAGCUUGCAGGUUUUAUCUACACUUUGUUCUUAGGGUAGAGUAGCAUUACCGUAUAUUAAUAGCCAUAUUUUUUCAUUUGAAAUUAAAACCAGAUAGAGGCUUCUCAUGCUUUGCUUUCAAAUCCUAUUUUAAAAAGUAUUGAUCAUGUGUGUGUUGUUUUUCUUUUCCUCUGACCCUGCUGGCUCUGUAAAGGGCACUCACUAACAAAAUGCUUUCAGUCCUGGAUCUCUGCUUACUACUGGGUGCAGUUUUGUAUAUUUAGGGACAUAUUUUAGAAGGUAAAAUGUAUAGAUAAAUGAAAAAUGUAGUUUCCAAUAGAGAGACAGGCAAGAAAAAUCAGAUUUAAAAGCAGGACCUCUACAAUUAGGGGGUACAGAGCAGCUUAGGCGUGAUAAGAUAGCCCGUGAUGUGCCUAGGCGCAUCUUUCGGGAGCUAAACGCUAUUGAAAGAUCUCGUCCUCCAUGACUUUAGGAGAAAUGGCCAAAAAUCAUCUCAUGGCUGAGAGUCCCCAGGCACAGCCUGUGUGCUCCUCUCUAGGAGAGGUUUGGAGGAGGGUGGCAGGGACCGGGCGCGAGGACAACACGGGACGCACACACAAAAGCCACCCUAACGUACCUGGUGGUGUUUCUUCUGCCGGACCCACCUUCUGGGUCUUCCAGGUGUACAUCUUCCUCCUUCUGUGCCCACCACAGAGGUCUUGGGGCAGCUUGAAGAUGUGAUGAAAAGGUCUCCUUGUGCCACCUACCCGGUGUGGGAAACAGCUUCCUCGUGGGCGUCAGUGCAGGAGCUGGCUGUGUCCUCCGAGUUCCUGGGGAAGGUGCUGGAGAUAAAAGACCCAAGGCAAGUUUCUCUGUUGAUGGCCUGCCUUGUUAUCCUAGGAAUGGGAAAGACGGGUGCACAGAGUGGGGUGAGGACAGACCAUCCUUAAGGUGCCACUACACCAACCCCAGCCCCGGUGCAAAGGUGAAGCCCUUCAUUCUGAGACCAGCCCAGACCUGUCUCCAAGACUCGAGGUGCUCCUCGUAACGUUCUCCUCCAGACGUGACCCCAGGAGCUUUGCUUGAACUGGAAAGCAGCUCAUUUGGAAAGGUUUUCUGUAGUUCCUCCAGACCCACUCGACAAGCUCUAAUAAUAACUAACUGCCUUUCUAUUUAUAAAUGAGAACAGCAGCGAGGAACUCGGCUCAUGCGGCUGAGGCCACCGCAGCCUUGGUUCUCCCACCCUCUGCCAUCGAGAUUUUGUCUCUGCUGUCCUGCCAGAGCCCCAGCAGCCCUGCCAUCGUGCAUGGGAAAGGGCAUUUCCCAGGGCUCUUUCCUUUGGGUACACACACACACAUUUAUUUUUUCUUUUUGCUCGUUGACAAGGGAAUAAUUUCUGUUUAAAAACGGGGAUUGUUUUUUGUAGCAGCUCCUACCCCACUUUGUAAAACAAACAUUUCCCAAGCGCUUGAUGUUUCAGAUGAUGUUGUUACUCGAACGUCAGCGCCAAUAUCAGAACAUGUAUUUCUUAGUGGAGCCUGGGGAUUUUGUGCUGCCCGUCUCCCAGCGGCCAGAUGUGACGCAGAGGACCGACGGAUCCUUUCGGCCGAGCCAGCUGGAUGUGGCCCGCGUUAGGGCUGAGUCGGAAAAGCGUUUGGGUUUAGAUUGACAUGCUGUAGCCCAAGGCUAGCUCUCGCCCAGCCUGCAUGCAGGAGGGGAGCAUCACCUCCACUUCGGCUGGGUCAGCUCGAGCCGAGGCUCGACUCAGGCUGAAGCUGCCUUUGCUGGCUCCAGUCUCACAGGGACCAGACAUCUCCAGCCAGCUCUGGUUCUACCCACAGCGUUCCCUCUGCUCCCAUUCCCGACAGUGCCAAGCCCUGUACCUGCACUUCUGGGAGAGACUGGAGAGAGUUUUCCCUGUAAUACAUCCUCUCGCUAUCUCCACUACAUGCAGGAUGCCAGAUUCGAUGAAAAUACUCUGAUCUGUUCUGACAAAUCCUCUGUUCCUAAGUAGAUAAUAACCAGAAAAUCUUCCUAAAUAAAUCCUGGUUUCGGA